GACGAACGCUGGCGGCGUGCUUAACACAUGCAAGUCGAACGGUGAAAGCGGAGCUUGCUCCGCUGGAUCAGUGGCGAACGGGUGAGUAACACGUGGGCAACCUGCCCCUCACUUCGGGAUAACUCCGGGAAACCGGGGCUAAUACCGGAUAUGACCUCCUUGGGCAUCCUUGGAGGUGGAAAGUUUUUCGGUGAGGGAUGGGCCCGCGGCCUAUCAGCUUGUUGGUGAGGUAGUGGCUCACCAAGGCGACGACGGGUAGCCGGCCUGAGAGGGCGACCGGCCACACUGGGACUGAGACACGGCCCAGACUCCUACGGGAGGCAGCAGUGGGGAAUAUUGCGCAAUGGGCGAAAGCCUGACGCGGCAACCCCGCGUGCGGGAUGACGGCCUUCGGGUUGUAAACCGCUUUCAGCAGGGAAGAAGCCGCAAGGUGACGGUACCUGCAGAAGAAGCACCGGCUAACUACGUGCCAGCCGCCGCAGUAA
Molecule: ribosomal RNA, 485 nt
Filed under: uncultured bacterium
Lineage: Bacteria
Description: partial 16S ribosomal RNA
Rfam family: Bacterial small subunit ribosomal RNA
Source: RNAcentral